Molecule: long non-coding RNA, 1040 nt
Organism: Culex quinquefasciatus (southern house mosquito)
Lineage: Eukaryota; Metazoa; Arthropoda; Insecta; Diptera; Culicidae
Exons: 3
Source: RefSeq, a predicted model, not a curated record
UGAAUUGCCGUGGGGAUUUUGGCGGCGUUUGGUGCUGAAAUUGGUGCGCUAUUUUGUGGUGAAUCGGACGGCUAUUGUGAGCAGCAAGCAACUCCGUGGUUUGGCGGCAUUCCAGAGCGCAACGCUGACGGUGGAUUCGGUGUGCUAAUCGGGCGGAACCGGCAGGAGGAGAACAAAAGAGGGCGGAAAGGCGGUCGCUGGCGGAAAUUUUUGGAUCAAGUUCAAGGUCGGGACGCCAUUUUGGACGCCGGCUGGUCGAAGACGCGGCGCGCGUUGGUCUUCUUUUGUUCGUUGGGUGCUGCAUCACAAGUGGGCCGAAUAGCCAAGGUGGAGUUUCUGCUAAUUCAUUAGUGCAAACUUCAGUUCCGCGGACCGGAGAACUCCUGUGCUGGUGCGCGAGUCGCUGAACGAGUUUUGCAGCGCAGGUUGAGUUAUUUUCGCUGGCAAAGGCCGGGAAGGAGAUCGAUACUCAUUCAACACGGUUCCCAGUGUAGCGAAGACAAGAAAGCGCGAUGGCGGCUAGUAGCACGAACCGUCGUGUUGUGGACUCGAAGGAGAUGUGCUGUUCGUGGUGACUGGCAAUCAAAGAGGUUGCUGGUGGAGUGCAGCAAACGAAAUGACCUUCUACUGAAGACGAAAUGCGAAACGACAUGGAGAUUUCGAACGAGGACACGUGUGGUGCUGGAUGCGGCAGAUACCGUCCGUUUAGGGGUGUCUCUGAACGGAAAGGAACAAAACGUAAAAAACGCAAAAAGUGACUAUUUUAAAUUCCUGAACAAUAUUUUCAUUCGAAUAGUACAAAAAGUUGUAUUAGAUUUUUGGUUGAUUCAUAACCUUGCUUUAUAUACAUUACUUUGUUAUCAUUUCAUUAAUGAGUUCGAUUAACUUUAGUUUUAAGCAAAGGGGGAAGGACUGUUGAGUACCCCUCGUUUGAGUACUAGUCAAAUGACAGCACAAAUACAUGUAACGCGCGUUCUCUAACUUACCUUAAAUAAACGAGCUUGUGCUCUAUUCGGCCUCUUUCUACGCUGAUACUCGAA